AAUUAUUGACAAUGGGGGAAACCCUGAUCCAGCCAUCCCGCGUGUAUGAUGAAGGNCUNNGGGUUNUNAAGUACUUUUGGCCGNNNNNAAAAGGUACCUCCUAAUACGAGGUACUGCUGACGGUAUCUGCAGAAUAAGCCCCGGCUAACUACGUGCCAGCAGCCGCGGUAAUACGUAGGGUGCAAGCGUUAAUCGGACUUACUGGGCGUAAAGCUUGUGUAUGCGGUUCGGAAAGGAAGAUGUGAAAUCCCAGGGCUCAACCUUGGAACUGCAUUUUUAACUGCCGAGCUAGAGUAUGUCAGAGGGGGGUAGAAUUCCACGUGUAGCAGUGAAAUGCGUAGAUAUGUGGAGGAAUACCGAUGGCGAAGGCAGCCCCCUGGGAUAAUACUGACGCUCAGACACGAAAGCGUGGGGAGCAAACA
This 422-nucleotide ribosomal RNA is filed under the name uncultured bacterium. RNAcentral describes it as "partial 16S ribosomal RNA". It matches the Rfam family "Bacterial small subunit ribosomal RNA", at positions 359 to 774 of the family's 1533-position model. The record is from RNAcentral.